UGCCAUGAAGACUUCAAUUUCUAGUACUAAUUGUCUUAACAGAACAUCACAUUGCUCGAGGUUUUCUGUUUUCUUUUUUGUUUUUCCAUAUGGAUGCUAGAAUGUUAGAAUUUGCCGAUAAAAUUGUAAAAAUGGAACGGCUUACUUCUAUAUUGUGGAAUGAGAAAAGGUGCAUUUUAGCCCUUAACGUUUUAACACAAUGAGUAAAUUGGUCUCUAAUCUAUUUUUUGGAAGAAAUAACAGUAAAAACUAUAUUUUUGUGUGGUUUUAACACCUCAACAGACAAAAGUAUAAACUGUGAUUAGUUGAAAAUGAUGUGGUAAAUUUUUUGACUUUUAUUUAAAGUGGAUCUCAUUUUAGUGCAUAAAAUCACUUAAAAUUAUAAAAUUAUUAAUUAUAAAACACUUAAAUUUAUGUUUUCUCUUUUAAUAGUAUAUUCAAUUUUUUUAUUUUUUCUAACUUAUUCAAUCAACCAUGGUUUUUUUUAUCCACCAUUCCACCACCAUCCAUUAUCACCACCGUCUCUCCACCAUCUUUGGUGUUGCUUUAAGACCAACUGCCACCACAAAGCACUAUCACAUCUCAUUAUCACCAUCAAAGUAACCAACAACGAACCAACAUAUUUUAAUUUUAUUAAAUUUCUCAAAUACCUAAAGUGCUCUAUCGUUCAUUACUUUCUUCAUUGCAAAUGCAAGACUCAAUAUUACUGUCAAAUGAAGCUUUUCUGGAACUGCAACAAUAGUUAUAGUCACUGAAUCUGCAUUAAGCUCCACUUUCAAUGGUAUCUCAUUUUUCUCUGUUUCACUCAAGAAGGAACGCUUUGAUGCAACAUGAAGCUGAAAGGAUGAUAUUUGAUGAGUUUUCAUAGAGAUUGAUGCUUUGGAGAAUUUUGGAUAAAAUGGAGAAAAGAUGGCAGAAGAUCACUUCAGUUAGAGCGUGCCCGCGGCAUAUUCUAGAAAUCCGAAUUUGGGAAAAGAAGCUUAAAGUGAUACUAUUUGCCAUGUGACUUUUUAAUUUAUUUUUGGGAAUGUUUAUUUACUAAAAACCCCUCACAACUUAAGGUUAUUUUAGGAAUUCUUAGGGAUCAAGUUCUUCUAUAAAAAGAAAAAGAUGAAAAAGAGAAAAGGAGAGUUUUUUUUAGGUUUGAAGAAAAGGGGGCUACAAACUAGUUUUCUUCCUAUCAUCCAUUGUUUUCCUUCUUUGCUUUAUUUUCUCUACAACAAUUAUGUGUGGCUGAACUCUUUUCUUUCCAACUCAAGAUUAAUUAAGGAACUUAUUUUUGUUGGAUUCGACACCCAUCACAAACACUAGAGAAAGACAAGUUGUGCAAGUUGUUGCUUCAAUGACAACGAGGACGAGCCGAACAACGAUGAGCAUCAAAAAUGUCGUAGAGCAUCAACGCCGUCGCAAAGAAUCAAUGUCAUCGCAAAGCAUCAAAGUUCUCGCGGAAAAUCAACAUGGACGCAGGAUUUUAGAGGAAGAAUAGAAGAAAAAUGGCACUUUUUGAAUACUUAGGAUUUAAUAAAGAAGAAAAAGGAAAUAGAUUUUGGGGAUUCAAUGGAAAUAGGGAAGAUAACUUCUUUUUUCCCUUCCUUUUAGUUUUUGUUUCUUUUAAUUAAUAAAAAUAUUACAUUUAAAAAAUUUAAUUAAAUAUUGAUGAAACACUCCUAAUGUCAGUUUAAUGGCAACUUUAUUAGCCAUGUCAGGGAUAAAUAAUGAAAGUUCAUUCUGUUUAGUUUUCA
Ricinus communis (castor bean) is the source of this 1742-nucleotide long non-coding RNA. RefSeq lists it as uncharacterized. The transcript has 3 exons. The record is from RefSeq and is a predicted model, not a curated record. Lineage: Eukaryota; Viridiplantae; Streptophyta; Magnoliopsida; Malpighiales; Euphorbiaceae.